GGGCGAUGAGGAAAGAAAACCGUGUGCCGGAGGCGGAUGCGCCGGUGUCGGUGACACAAAUCCUCUAAGAAGUUCUGAGCUC
Non-coding RNA from Oryza brachyantha (malo sina), 82 nucleotides. NCBI's taxonomy places the organism in Eukaryota, Viridiplantae, Streptophyta, Magnoliopsida, Poales, Poaceae. The record is from Rfam.